GUAGGUGAACCUGCGGAAGGAUCAUUAUUGAAAUAAACCUGAUGGGUUGUUGCUGGUUCUCUAGGGAGCAUGUGCACGCCUGGUCAUCUUUAUAUCUCCACCUGUGCACCUUUUGUAGACCUUCCGGGUCUAUGUUGCUUCAUUUACCCCAAUGUAUGUUAAUAGAAUGUUGUGACUAUAUAAAAAUAUACAACUUUCAGCAACGGAUCUCUUGGCUCUC
Molecule: unclassified non-coding RNA, 220 nt
Filed under: rhizosphere metagenome
Description: partial ribosomal RNA internal transcribed spacer region
Source: RNAcentral